This 496-nucleotide ribosomal RNA is filed under the name Salmonella enterica subsp. enterica serovar Infantis. RNAcentral describes it as "bacterial SSU rRNA". It matches the Rfam family "Bacterial small subunit ribosomal RNA", at positions 1 to 488 of the family's 1533-position model. RNAcentral also lists the same sequence under 1 other name. The record is from RNAcentral. Lineage: Bacteria; Pseudomonadati; Pseudomonadota; Gammaproteobacteria; Enterobacterales; Enterobacteriaceae.
AAAUUGAAGAGUUUGAUCAUGGCUCAGAUUGAACGCUGGCGGCAGGCCUAACACAUGCAAGUCGAACGGUAGCACAGAGAGCUUGCUCUCGGGUGACGAGUGGCGGACGGGUGAGUAAUGUCUGGGAAACUGCCUGAUGGAGGGGGAUAACUACUGGAAACGGUGGCUAAUACCGCAUAACGUCGCAAGACCAAAGAGGGGGACCUUCGGGCCUCUUGCCAUCAGAUGUGCCCAGAUGGGAUUAGCUUGUUGGUGAGGUAACGGCUCACCAAGGCGACGAUCCCUAGCUGGUCUGAGAGGAUGACCAGCCACACUGGAACUGAGACACGGUCCAGACUCCUACGGGAGGCAGCAGUGGGGAAUAUUGCACAAUGGGCGCAAGCCUGAUGCAGCCAUGCCGCGUGUAUGAAGAAGGCCUUCGGGUUGUAAAGUACUUUCAGCGGGGAGGAAGGUGUUGUGGUUAAUAACCGCAGCAAUUGACGUUACCCGCAGAAGA